Molecule: long non-coding RNA, 503 nt
Organism: Nicotiana attenuata
Lineage: Eukaryota; Viridiplantae; Streptophyta; Magnoliopsida; Solanales; Solanaceae
Exons: 2
Source: RefSeq, a predicted model, not a curated record
CAUUCUUUUCCCUCAAAACACGUGUACUACAAUUGUGUAAAAUUGAUUUACCAUCUAAACCAAGACUGAUACCCUGUUCUCCUUAUCCUUGUUUAAUUCUCCUCCAUCAAUGUUCUCUGUACUACUGAUUCUUUGGUGAAGCUGCCAUAUUUUCUUAUGGGUAUUCAAGAAAAUGUUGUGUCUUUAGCUCUUGAAACUUAUUUUGCAAAUGCAUGUGAAUAAGAUGAGGCAAGAGAUAAUCUCUUUAUCUUGCCCAUCUUAUGCAUAGUGCGGCUCAUAUUAAGAGGUGCUCUAUAACACAGAGAUCUAUCAUCCAGCAAUACUAAAGGUAUAUUACUUACUCCUAUUGGAAAGAAAUACUGAAUAAUGUAAUAUGUAUUAUAUUUGUUUGAAAUGCUUUUAGUUUGCUUAUAUGUUUAUUGCAUUAUUGCUACUGUUUAUCUAAAUAAAUCGGGAAAGUCAGAUACAAUCCAAUCUGGCGUGGAGUUCUUUUUCUGUGGCUU